GUUUCUUCUGUACUCGGGGUUCAUCCGUGCCAUCGGCGUGUCCGAUGGGCAGCGUCAGUCCCUCGGCUGGCAUUACGUCCCCGACGGACUGCCCCGCCUGCCCCGCUGGCUACUUCUGUAACAGCAGUGCUCUGACAGAGCCGUCCGGAGCCUGCAGCCCAGGACAUUUUUGUUCCCUGGGAUCCACGGAGCCUUCCCCUGUCUCGCAGCCUUAUGGAGAUGUCUGCCCCGUAGGACACUUUUGUCCUGGGAGUAGCGGGUCACCCAAACCAUGUCCUGUCGGCAGCUUCCUCCCAGAGCGUGGAGCUUCUGCCCGCUCUCACUGUCACCGUUGCCCCCCAGGGAAAUACUGCCCGACUCCUGGAAGCUCACAGCCCACAGGUCUGUGCUCUGCAGGUUUCUUUUGUUCUGGAGGGGCAGAUAGCCCCACGCCUCGAGCCUCUGUGUUCAGCUGUCUUUGUGAGAUACUGGAGGUUUACACCACAAAGAAAGACGCCGCACUCUGGAUUCACAAUCUGCCCUGCUUCAAUAAUUCCAGUAGUUCUGGAAGCGACGCUAACUGGAUCGAAGUGGUGACGGCGACGGAGGCGGACUCGGUGACUCACUCACCGCUGUGCCUCAAGAGUCCACAUCGGAGCUGCUCCUCGUACAGAGGAGACAUCUGCCCUAAGGGUUUCUAUUGUCCCGUGGGCUCUUCCUACCCCCAGCCCUGUGAAGCUGGAUCUUACUGUGACCAGAUUGGGCGAGAGGCCCCUGCAGGGCCUUGUGCUGCAGGAUAUCACUGUCCCAAAGGCUCUUUGAACCCCCAUGCCACCCCUUGCCCCACAGGACACUACUGCCCCGCCGGAACUCCUCUUCCUCGGUCGUGUCCCAUUGGGACCAUAAAAAGUUCCCUGGGUGGGUCUACGGUGGGGGAUUGCCAGAUGUGUCCCCCAGGUCACUUCUGCCACCAGAGAGGAAUAGCUGAGCCAAGUGGGCAGUGUGCAGAAGGCUACUAUUGUCCUGAGGGACAGAGCUCCGAGAGACCACAACAACAUGUCUGCUCACUGGGACAUUAUUGUGAAAAGGGAAGUAUCAGACAGAAGGCCUGCCUCCCCGGCAGCUACCAGCUAAGACAAGGCCGCGGCAGCUGUGAGACAUGCCCUUCCGGUUUCUACUGUCGAGAUCAAGGAGUGACCCAUCCACUCCCUUGUGAGAGAGGAUUUUAUUGUCCCGGCGGAUCAGCAAAUCAACAUCCCUGUCCGGCUGGAACUUACGGAAACAUGUCAGGACUGGUUGAAGAGUGGCAGUGCUCAAUGUGUGACCCUGGGAUGUACUGCAAAGGAACAGGGAGGACUUUUGCCAGCGGGCCGUGUGCUGCAGGGUUUGUUUGUGUUGGCGGAGCCUCUGAAUCUUCACCACUCGAUAAUGUGACUGGCUUCCCAUGCCCUCCCGGCUUCUUCUGCUCCGUGGGGACUUCUUCUCCAAAAGCAUGCCCGAAAGGAACAUUCAGUGAGCAGAGCAGGCUGGUGGAGGAGUCCCAGUGUCGUAGCUGCAUUCCAGGCUUCUACUGUUCAGAGAUCGGCCUCUCGGUAGUCUCUGGGCCCUGCCUGCCAGGUUUCUACUGUCUAGAGGGAUCCCAGACUGCUGCCCCAAUGUCAAGUGGAUCUGGAAGUGUUUGUCCCGCGGGCCACUACUGUGCAGAGGGCAGCAGUGUUCCCACACCCUGUCCGACUGGCUCUUACCGGAAUGAGACUGGAGGAAAAAGCAAAGAUUACUGCAAAACAUGUCCUCUUGGCUGGUUCCAGGAUUUAUCGGGCCAAACAGAGUGUGAUCCCUGCCCUGCUGGGUUCCACUGCCAGUACCCGAGUAGCAGCCCCACCAUGGGAGGCCCUACUGGAGUCUCCAGCCCUCUGCCCUGCCCGGCCGGCUACAUAUGUCCCAGGGAGAAUCCAGACAGUCACCCUUUUCCCUGCCCCAAAGGCACCUACAGCCCCCGCCACGGUCUCACCUCCACAGGUGAGUGCUUUGUGUGUCCAGCGGGUCAGUUUUGUGGGUCUGACGGGUUGGUUCAGCCUUCGGGGCCGUGUGCUGCUGGGUUUCUGUGUUUGAUGGGCGCCACAGUGCCCAACCCGACUGACAACAGAACUGGAUCUCUCUGUCCACCCGGGAAAUUCUGCCAACGGGGGCAAACAGCAGGGGAUUGCUGGGCAGGGUUUUAUUGCGACUGGGGCUCCAGCAGAGCAGAUACGGCUCUGUGCCCUGCUGGUUUCUUUUGCCCCAGAGGGACACUGGUCCCAAUCCCUUGUUCUGCAGGUACAUUUAGCUCUGAAACAGGAAACAUACAUCAAGACAAUUGCACUACAUGCACACCUGGGUACUACUGUCAAGUUAAAGGUACUAUACAGCCUUCCUUAUGUCCCGCUGGAUACUACUGUCCUCCGGGGAUGUCUCUAGGACGAGAGUUCCCCUGCCCUCCUGGCACUGUGCAGAACCGACUCGGAGCCUCCGAUCCCGACGCCUGCCUGCCCUGUCCUGCCGGAAUGUUCUGCUCUCAACCCGGUCUGUCGCAGCCAACAGGACCUUGCGAGGCCGGCUACUACUGUCCUGCUGGUUCAACCAGCCCUAACUCUACUGCUUAUCAGGGGAAUUCUACCAUAGGACACCUUUGUCGUCCAGGUCACUAUUGCCCCUCUGGCAGCGGCUAUCCCCUCCCCUGCCCGGCAGGCUCUUAUUCCAUCUUGCAUGGACUGAGGGGAGUUGAUGGAUGCCUGCCCUGCCCCCCUGGACGGUUUUGUGACAGGCCUGCAAUAGCAGAGCUCUCCGUUGCACCCCCAUGUCAUGCUGGGUAUGUGUGCCUGGGUGGCAGCUCCAGUGCCACCCCAUCCGACGGUUCCCAUGGCUACCUCUGCCCCUCGGGCCACAGCUGUCCCGUUGGCUCAGCAAGUGAGGUGCCCUGUGAGACCGGCACGUACAGUCCUGCCACUGGAGCAGCUCACUGCUUAAUAUGUCCCAAAGGGUUCAUGUGUUCCUACUUAGCAACUCAAGAGCCUUCUGUCUGUCCAGCUGGUCAUUUUUGUCCUGCUGGGACCGUGCUGCCUGAGCUCUGUCCGUUGGGGACUUUCAGCAACAAGACAGGAGCCUUUUCUCUCUCUGUGUGCACACCCUGUCCCUCUGGAGUGUACUGUAGCUCAUACGGAGCCUCAACACCAGACGGUUCUUGUUUGCAGGGUUAUUUCUGCACGGGGGGAGCCACACAGCCAACACCGCACAGCUCUGACAACUCCCCAGGGAAUGGCCCUUGCCCCGUGGGCCAUUACUGCCCAGCAGGGUGCCUCGCCCCAAUUCCCUGCCCUCUCGGCAGUAUUCGCAAAACCAUAGGAGGGGUGUCCAUGGAGAGCUGCUCCGCCUGUCCCGCUGGUCACUACUGCUCUGCGGAGGGUCUUGCUAGCCCCAGUGGCCCGUGUGCAGCUGGUUUCUACUGCCCUUUUGACUACUCCUCGACCACUCCAUAUGCCUUCUUGUGUCCCAAGGGCCAUUACUGUCCAGAAGGCUCCGUUCUGCCCCUGCCUUGUGCCACAGGAGAGUACCAGCCAAACCCGGGCUCAGACGGCUGCGUCCCAUGCCGAUCUGGGUUCUACUGUGAGGAGGCCAUAGUGGGAGAGCCAUGGCUCUGCCCACCACACUCAUUUUGCCCUGCAGGCACAAUGGUGCCUCUGCUCUGCCCCAAUGGGACAUACACUCCUUCAAACCGGGGAGGACUACGAGAAGAGCGAGAGUGUUUACCCUGCCCUCCAGGGAAAUUCUGCAGGGCUGGCAGGAUCCAGGGUUUGUGCGCGGCGGGCUAUCUUUGUGUUUCUGGCAGUGCAGAUGUCACCCCUGAGGCGCCACUGUCUAACAUGACACAGUGCCAGUGGGGCAUGCAGUGUGCUGGACCAUGUCCACCAGGUUUUUACUGUCCUGAGGGAACGGAGGAAGCUAAGUUCUGUGCUGCAAACACCUUCAGAAGCUCCCCGGGAGGUGCCAGCCUACCUGACUGUUUACCCUGCCCACCUCAGCAUUGGUGUAAACCGGGAGACCCAGUCCUUCAUCCGUGUCCGCCCGCGCAUUACUGUGACGGUCUGCCUGGAAGUGACUUUAAUGGAGGCACAGGACCCAGGCCAUGUCCGCUGUACACCUAUCGAGCUUUACCGGGAGCAGGCAGCAAGGGUGACUGCCUGCCCUGCCCUCCUGGUUCUCACUGUAACAGAACAGGGCUUACAGACUACUCCAACAGUCGGUGCCCGCCUGGUUUCUGGUGCAGCGGGUCUGGACCCCCCAUUCUCUGCCCUGCAGGCACCAAAAGGCCCCGUCCUGGAGCUGCUUCACCGAGCCAAUGUGAACCGUGUUCGGGGGGAACCUUCUGCCCAGAUCCGAGAGCAACAGGGAGGCCCAAUGUGGAGGGGAUCCCCUGCAGGGCCUCCUAUCAAUGCCCAACUGGUGCAGUCUCGGAGAGUCUGUGCAGAGCCGGCUCAUACUGUGGACCUCAUACUGAUGAGCCUGCAGUCUGUCCCAAAGGGUAUCUUUGUCCUGAGGGAUCUCAUACCUACAACACCCCCAAGCAACUAUGCCCUUUUCCCUACUACUGUCCAGCAAACAGCUCCUUCAUGAGGUCCUGCAAGGGGGGGUUUAUGCCCAUCAACACCAGCGACCUCAGAGGAUCCAAAAACAGCUGUUGUCGUGUGUGUGAGGGGGGCACUUAUCGCCCGUACCUCUCCCCCAUCCUGCAAUGUCUUCCAUGUCCACCGGGAUACUUUUGCUCUCCAGGUACAACCGACUACAAAAGUUCCCCCUGCCCUGUUGGGUAUCGCUGUCCAAAGGGAGCCGCCCAACCAAUAGCCUGCCCUCCUGGCUUCUUUGGUAACAUUACUCAUGCUGAGACAUUGAGUGACUGUCACCUGUGUCCAGCUGGCACCUUCAACCACCUGCUUGCUCAGAAGGCCUGCUUCCCCUGUGGCAGCUCCUCCACCUCAACAGCCGGUUCUUCUUCUUGCACCUGUAUCGGUAAGAAUCGGGCAUUUCAGCACUCGGAUGGUUCAUGUUUGUGCAGAACUGGUUUCAUCUUCUACAAUGAACUGGACUUCAAAAGUUCUACCUCUGACAGUGAAUUGGACUGCCAGCCUGAGGUGAACAGACGGUGUUCUGCUGGUCAGGUACGUCUGGCAGCAUCCAGGGAGUGUGUGACACCUUCCCUCCACUCCUGCAAUACAACCUGUGGACAACAUGGAGGAACUCUGGAUGUGGCGAUGGGCAUCUGCCGGUGUGAGCGAUAUGUGUCCGCUGAAGAGCUUUGCAACACGUCCUGCCUCUUCACACUACCUCAGCUCUCCGCCCAGAUCUCACCAGACGGGCACCUGCUGCUCAGCUUAAAAGAAAGAGACAAGAUGGUGUGGGCAAGGACUGUGAUGGAUGUUUUAGGACCAGAUAUCCACGCAAAGGGUAUUGGUAAAAUCCAUUUGAUCCAGUUUGAUCCUGAAGGCGUGUUUGGUUGGAUUCCAACACAGAAAGAGCUCAUCAAUAACUUUCUGUCAGAACCGAUUGAACUCCUGAAGACAAGACAAAGAAAGAGGAGAGACAUGGAAGAUGCCGAGGAUUAUGAUGCUUCUGACACAGCUGUCCUUCCUCGUAUCCCCAACCCCAUUGUCUGUCUGUCCUCGGGUGACAUGCUCAUUUUCCAUCUCACCAUCAACCACACUGACCGACAUCGGAGCCACUUUCCAGUGUAUCAGAAAGACCACCUGUUUAACAGUAAUCCCAGUUGGGACUUUGGUGCCUUCAGACGACUGCAGAUACUCAUGAAGCAGACCAACUUGAACUCUACAAGGUUUGCCCACGUGUUUUCAGCAGCUGGGAAGUACGCGUUUGUCGACAGCGCCGUCCCAGAGCGGAGUAUGGUGGUGGUGGUCAGUGAUCAGGGGACAGUCUGUGACCCUCGGGCCUCCGUCUUCCAGCCCAUGACCCCGGCACAGCUGGUGAAGCACGGGAUUAUCAAGCAGCACAGACUCAACCUUCUUCCUGACUGGGGAGUGAUAGCAGGGGUCCUUGGUCUGCUGCUGGUUCUCGUUGUGGUUUUGACCACCACCGUGAUAGUUCUGCGACCCGGUAAAGCAAAACUCGUCUCCCAAUGGAGGUAUAAGCCCAAGUGGCGCAGCCUCGGGGAGCCCUUCUGUCCGGUGGAUUGUGUUUGCAGUGAAGACAACAAAGUUGUCCCAAGCGUAGGUGGCUUACUAGGUAGUAGGGGUGAAGGAGAGGGAGCAGAAGCCGAGGAGCCCGCUGUUUCAAAAGGAGGAAAUGUUCCAGGGCGCUGCGAUUUGGAGGAGUUGAAUGUCAAGACUCUGUUUGACAAACUGGAGGAUCAGAACUUACACAUCGCCUCACAACUGGCCCGACACCGCAAAGACACACAGGAGUUUUAUAGAAACAUCUGUCAACAGACUGAAACACUCAAGAAUGUCCUAGACAAUAUGGAUCAUAGAAAACUAAGCUUUCUAAAGGAACUGCUUGUCCAUAAUGCAAUGAAGAAUAAACCAUUCGACUGCAGUGCAAGAGGGAGAGAUUUACAAGUUGAGACCUCUACAGCAUUACUAGGAGAUGUACUCCAGUCAGUAGAAGCUCUUCUCUGCAAGCUGGCGGGAGAAGCUUGGCAGAACCAGGAUUUAGCCGCCCCUCCAUACUGUCACAUUGGUCCUCGUGAUGCCAGGGAAUGUGAACCACGAGCUGGAUACAGACAAUCUGGUGACAACAUGUGUUAUACACAGUACAUCUACCGAGCACAGAGUCCUGUUUCAGUGACCACAACUUGUCCAGACUGCUACAGAACAGUCUGUCCAGGAAAACAAUGA
Long non-coding RNA from Gasterosteus aculeatus (three-spined stickleback), 6860 nucleotides. NCBI's taxonomy places the organism in Eukaryota, Metazoa, Chordata, Actinopteri, Perciformes, Gasterosteidae. The record is from Ensembl.